CGAAGGUUGGCUAAUCCUGGUCGGACAUCAGGAGGUUAGUGCAAUGGCAUAAGCCAGCUUGACUGCGAGCGUGACGGCGCGAGCAGGUGCGAAAGCAGGUCAUAGUGAUCCGGUGGUUCUGAAUGGAAGGGCCAUCGCUCAACGGAUAAAAGGUACUCCGGGGAUAACAGGCUGAUACCGCCCAAGAGUUCAUAUCGACGGCGGUGUUUGGCACCUCGAUGUCGGCUCAUCACAUCCUGGGGCUGAAGUAGGUCCCAAGGGUAUGGCUGUUCGCCAUUUAAAGUGGUACGCGAGCUGGGUUUAGAACGUCGUGAGACAGUUCGGUCCCUAUCUGCCGUGGGCGCUGGAGAACUGAGGGGGGCUGCUCCUAGUACGAGAGGACCGGAGUGGACGCAUCACUGGUGUUCGGGUUGUCAUGCCAAUGGCACUGCCCGGUAGCUAAAUGCGGAAGAGAUAAGUGCUGAAAGCAUCUAAGCACGAAACUUGCCCCGAGAUGAGUUCUCCCUGAGACUUAAAGUCUCCUGAAGGAACGUUGAAGACGACGACGUUGAUAGGCCGGGUGUGUAAGCGCAGCGAUGCGUUGAGCUAACCGGUACUAAUGAACCGUGAGGCUUAACCUUACAACGCCGAAG
This 632-nucleotide ribosomal RNA is filed under the name Salmonella enterica subsp. enterica serovar Durham. RNAcentral describes it as "partial 23S ribosomal RNA". It matches the Rfam family "Bacterial large subunit ribosomal RNA", at positions 2311 to 2925 of the family's 2925-position model. The record is from RNAcentral. Lineage: Bacteria; Pseudomonadati; Pseudomonadota; Gammaproteobacteria; Enterobacterales; Enterobacteriaceae.